UGGGGAAUUUUGGACAAUGGGCGAAAGCCUGAUCCAGCAAUGCCGCGUGUGUGAAGAAGGCCUUCGGGUUGUAAAGCACUUUUGUCCGGAAAGAAAUCCUUGGCUCUAAUACAGUCGGGGGAUGACGGUACCGGAAGAAUAAGCACCGGCUAACUACGUGCCAGCAGCCGCGGUAAUACGUAGGGUGCAAGCGUUAAUCGGAAUUACUGGGCGUAAAGCGUGCGCAGGGCGGUUUGCUAAGACCGAUGUGAAAUCCCCGGGCUCAACCUGGGAACUGCAUUGGUGACUGGCAGGCUAGAGUAUGGCAGAGGGGGGUAGAAUUCCACGUGUAGCAGUGAAAUGCGUAGAGAUGUGGAGGAAUACCGAUGGCGAAGGCAGCCCCCUGGGCCAAAUACUGACGCUCAUGCACGAAAGCGUGGGGAGCAAACAGGAUUAGAUACCCUGGUAGUCCACGCCCUAAACGAUGUCAACUAGUUGUUGGGGAUUCAUUUCCUUAGUAACGUAGCUAACGCGUGAAGUUGACCGCCUGGGGAGUACGGUCGCAAGAUUAAAACUCAAAUGAAUUGACGGGGUCAUA
This 577-nucleotide ribosomal RNA is filed under the name uncultured bacterium. RNAcentral describes it as "partial 16S ribosomal RNA". It matches the Rfam family "Bacterial small subunit ribosomal RNA", at positions 355 to 923 of the family's 1533-position model. The record is from RNAcentral.